GAGGAGGUGACGUGCGACUGUCUUGAGUGGUGGAUUUUCCGUGACAUGGCAUUAACGGGCGCUGUUACUGGUGGAAUAUCGGUGGACGUCUCUGUGACCUUUUUCCUGGGAAGAAAGUGCAGAGUCUGUGGGGAAAAGAGAAGCAGCUCAGGACGAAAUGGAUGGAAGGAAAGUUUUUCCCAAAGCGCGACGCGACUCUCCGUCCCCUGAACUGUGAGUGUUACACAAAUGCUUUAACACACAUGCAUUACAACUACUCGUGACCUGUGAACAGACUCUGGUCUGUACACUAUAUUCAUUGUAUUACAGUCGCACUGUGA
Solea senegalensis (Senegalese sole) is the source of this 320-nucleotide long non-coding RNA. RefSeq lists it as uncharacterized. The transcript is spliced from 3 exons. The record is from RefSeq and is a predicted model, not a curated record. NCBI's taxonomy places the organism in Eukaryota, Metazoa, Chordata, Actinopteri, Pleuronectiformes, Soleidae.